GGCAGGCAGCAGCUGCGAAGGCUGGGCUCCUACCAGUAAGAGCACUACACUGUUGUGGUGAAACGAGAUGGUAUUAUGCAGUUUUAGAACAAAGUUUUAUUAAUCUGAAAGAAUAUAUCGGCUGCUGGAGUUUCCAGUAUUCAACAGGUCAAAUCUUAGCUAAAGACCUGAAACGAGAUGGAUCCGUUUUUGCCAAUAAGAGAAUAGUGUGCUGACGUUCUGUGUUUAGCCAAGCAGCUAGCUAGCUAACCAAGAAGACUGGUUCCUCCGACGAGCAAUGGAUUCCAAACACAGAUUCAACCACAAGACCAGGGACAUGGUGAACAUAUUUAUUAUUUAAACUUUGGAUGAUGUCUCAAUACACCCAGUCACUACAAAGAUACAGGCGUCCUUACUAACUCAGUUGCCAGAGAGGAAGGAAACCGCUCAGGGAUUUCACCAUGAAGCCAAUGGUGACUUUAAAACAUUUACAGAGUUUAAUGGCUGUAAUGGAUGUAUCAACAACAUUGUAGUUACUCCACAAUGCUAAUCUAAUUGGCAGAGUGAAAAGAAGGAAGCUUUUACCGAAUAAAAUAUUUAAAAACUCUCGUCCUGUUUGCAACAAGUCACUAAAGUAAUACUGCAAAAAUGUGGCAAAGCAAUUCAAUUUUAGUCCAAAGUGUUAUAUUUGGGGCAAAUUCAUUUACAUUUACAUUACAUUACAUUUAAGUCAUUUAGCAGACGCUCUUAUCCAGAGCGACUUACAAAUUGUGGGUCAAUACAAUACGUUACUGAGUAUCACGCUGUCACGAACCUCGCCGAAGAUGGUGCCUCUUCCUGUUCGGGCGGUGCUCGGCGGUCGUCGUCGCUGGCCUAUUAGCUGCCAUCGAUUCCCUUUCCGUUUGUUUUUGGUUAUUGGGUACACCUGUUUUGUAUUAGGGUUUGUUUUUAGGUUAUUUAAGGGCACUAGGUCUGCUGGGUAGUUGUGCGAGCUUGUUUCUUGUUACUCUGUGUUGGAUGGUGUUAUUUGUUCGUGUCUUAUUUCUCCUGACUAUUUUUGUCCUCUUGUUUGGACUGGCAACUUGUAUCCGCCCAGUGUAUUGGCGGGACCGUUUUUGUUGCGCUGGGGAAUAAAUUUGACAAACGACUGAA
Long non-coding RNA from Oncorhynchus keta (chum salmon), 1131 nucleotides. RefSeq lists it as uncharacterized. The record is from RefSeq and is a predicted model, not a curated record. NCBI's taxonomy places the organism in Eukaryota, Metazoa, Chordata, Actinopteri, Salmoniformes, Salmonidae. The transcript has 2 exons.